AACGAACGCUGGCGGCAGGCUUAACACAUGCAAGUCGAGCGAAGACUUCGGUCUUAGCGGCGGACGGGUGAGUAACGCGUGGGAACGUGCCUUUCACUACGGAAUAGUCCCGGGAAACUGGGUUUAAUACCGUAUACGCCCUUCGGGGGAAAGAAUUUCGGUGAGAGAUCGGCCCGCGUCUGAUUAGGUAGUUGGUGGGGUAAUGGCCUACCAAGCCGACGAUCAGUAGCUGGUUUGAGAGGAUGAUCAGCCACACUGGGACUGAGACACGGCCCAGACUCCUACGGGAGGCAGCAGUGAGGAAUCUUGGACAAUGGGGGGCAACCCUGAUCCAGCCAUGCCGCGUGAACGAUGAAGGCCUUAGGGUUGUAAAGUUCUUUCAACGGUGAAGAUAAUGACGGUAGCCGUAGAAGAAACCCCGGCUAACUCCGUGCCAGCGCCGCGGUAA
RNAcentral lists this ribosomal RNA (448 nucleotides) under uncultured bacterium. RNAcentral's name for it is "bacterial SSU rRNA". It matches the Rfam family "Bacterial small subunit ribosomal RNA", at positions 29 to 523 of the family's 1533-position model. The record is from RNAcentral.